CCCGCUGAACUUAAGCAUAUCAAUAAGCGGAGGAAAAGAAACUAACAAGGAUUCCCCUAGUAACUGCGAGUGAAGCGGGAAAAGCUCAAAUUUAAAAUCUGGCGGUCCUCUGGGCCGUCCGAGUUGUAAUCUGGAGAAGCGUUUUCCGCGUCGGACCGUGUACAAGUCUUCUGGAACGGAGCGUCAUAGAGGGUGAGAAUCCCGUCUCUGACACGGACCGCCGAUGCUUUAUGUGAUACGCUCUCGAAGAGUCGAGUUGUUUGGGAAUGCAGCUCAAAAUGGGUGGUAAAUUCCAUCUAAAGCUAAAUAUUGGCGAGAGACCGAUAGCGAACAAGUACCGUGAGGGAAAGAUGAAAAGCACUUUGGAAAGAGAGUUAAACAGUACGUGAAAUUGCUGAAAGGGAAACGCUUGAAGUCAGUCGCGUCGUCCAGGGAUCAACCUUGCUUUUGCUUGGUGCACUUUCUGGUUGACGGGUCAGCAUCAAUUUUGACCAUUGGAAAAAGAUCAAGGGAAUGUGACAUCUUUGGAUGUGUUAUAGCCCUUGGUUGCAUACGAUGGUUGGGAUUGAGGAACUCAGCACGCCGCAAGGCCGGGUUUUUAACCACGUACGUGCUUAGGAUGCUGGCAUAAUGGCUUUAAUCGACCCGUCUUGAAACACGG
This 661-nucleotide ribosomal RNA is filed under the name uncultured fungus. RNAcentral describes it as "eukaryotic LSU rRNA". It matches the Rfam family "Eukaryotic large subunit ribosomal RNA", at positions 24 to 664 of the family's 3401-position model. Lineage: Eukaryota; Fungi. The record is from RNAcentral.